UGAAUACGAGACGCUAAGGCGUCGAAGUAGUGUAUGUCAUACUUCCAAGAAAAGCUUGCACUGUCAUAGAUAAAAAACGCCUGUACCAUAACCGACACAGGUGGGUAGGUAGAGUAUACUAAGGGGCGCGAGAUAACUCUCUCUAAGGAACUCGGCAAAAUAACUCCCUAACUUCGGGAGAAGGAGUGCCUUAUUCUUAAGGUUGCAAUAACAAGAUCCAAGCAACUGUUUAUCAAAACCACAGGUCUCCGCUAAGUCGUAAGACGAUGUAUGGGGGCUGACGCCUGCCCAGUGCCAGAAGGUUAAAGAAGCUGGUUAGCAUUUGCGAAGCUAGUAACUGAAGCCCUGGUGAACGGCGGCCGUAACAAUAACGGUCCUAAGGUAGCGAAAUUCCUUGUCGGGUAAGUUCCGACCCGCACGAAAGGCGUAAUGAUUUGGAUACUGUCUCGGAGAGGGGCUCGGUGAAAUAGACUUGUCUGUGAAGAUGCGGACUACCUGCACCAGGACAGAAAGACCCUAUGAAGCUUUACUGUAACUUGAAAUUGAAAUUGGACUUUAUUCGCGCAGUAUAGGUGGGAGGCGUUGAUUGUAAUCUUGCGGGAUUAUUGGAGCCAUUAGUGAGAUACCACUCUUGUAAUGUUAGAUUUCUAACUUUGAAUCAUUAUCUGGUCAAAGAACAGUUUCAGGCGGGCAGUUUGACUGGGGCGGUCGCCUCCUAAACGGUAACGGAGGCGUACAAAGGUUUCCUCUGAACGGUUAGAAAUCGUAUCUAGAGUGUAAAGGCAUAAGGAAGCUUGACUGUGAGACCUACAAGUCGAGCAGGGACGAAAGUCGGUCUUAGUGAUCUGACGGUACUGAGUGGAAAGGCCGUCACUCAACGGAUAAAAGUUACUCUAGGAUAACAGGCUGAUCUCCCCCAAGAGUUCACAUCGACGGGGAGGUUUGGCACCUCGAUGUCGGCUCAUCGCAUCCUGGGGCGGUAGUACGUCCCAAGGGAUGGGCUGUUCGCCCAUGAAAGCGGUACGCGAGCUGGGUUCAGAACGUCGUGAGACAGUUCGGUCCAUAUCCGGUGUAGGCGUUAGAAUAUUGAGAGGAGCCUUCUUUAGUACGAGAGGACCGAGAAGGGCAUACCUCUGGUGUACCAGUUAUCGUGCCAACGGUAAACGCUGGGUAGCUAUGUAUGGAGUGGAUAACCGCUGAAAGCAUCUAAGUGGGAAGCCCACCUCAAGAUAAGUAUUCUCAUCAGAAAAAAA
This 1253-nucleotide ribosomal RNA is filed under the name metagenome. RNAcentral describes it as "bacterial LSU rRNA". It matches the Rfam family "Bacterial large subunit ribosomal RNA", at positions 1564 to 2827 of the family's 2925-position model. The record is from RNAcentral.